GUAAAGACAGUGAGUUGGUCUGAAAUGCUGUCCUAGAGCAAUUUUAUAAGUUCAAGUUGAGCUAAAACUUUUUUUUUUUAAAAAAGAUUAAACGCUUAAUGAAGUGUUUUUCAUGUUACGAGCAGUUUUUGCUCAAACGCAUUAGAGUUCUAUGCAGUCCCUUAAAAUGAAAUAAUACCUUUAUUUCUUUAGCUCACUGGUUUGUUGCAAAAAAUUCCCUUUUUCUCUAAAGGAGGCUAACAAAGUUAUUCUUGAGCUUUACAGUGACUGGGGAGAAAGGAUUAACAAUCUUGGUUGCUUGUUUCAGGGAAUAUAUUUGUUUUUGGAUUGUUUCUGUCUCCAAUACCUACAUUCAGGAGAGUAAUCAGAAAUCAAUCAACCGAACAGUUCUCAGGGUUGCCAUACUAUAGUAACAUAUAUGGGCUAUUGAACUACUUGAUCUGUGCCUGUUUAGGAUGCUGGAAUGGAUACUCACAGUCUUUGGCCUAUUUGCAAUUAUUGUAAUUGGAAGCUUGCUUAUACUUGACCUUCAACUCCGACGCAUCAUCAUUGGCUCCCUGAGUUGUGCUUCCCUAGCUCAUAUCAAUGUUUGCUUCCCCACUGUUUAUUAUUAAUCUGGUGAUCAGGACCAGGAGCGUCGAAUUCAUGCCACUUUACCUGUCCCUCUCUACCUUCCUAAUGAGUGCCUCUUUCUUUUUGUAUGGAACUUUCAGUUUCGAUCCUUUUAUAUAUGGAGUAGGAACACUUCUAGGAGUUACGUUGUACAAUUGUUUUUAUUUGCAUAUUACAGAAAUUCUUCAAGAGGAGACUUUACUGAAGGCUUUAUAGUGUCUUAUUAGUGAACUUCUCAGAAAAAAAAUAAAAAGAAAAUAGUGUCUUAUCCGUGAAAGAACACCUUGGGGGAAAGGUAAAUGCUCGAUACCUUUAGCGUCUGUUUCAUCCAAAGAAUCUAAUGCUAAUAAUCUCUAAAUGUGCAUUCUGUUAAAUAAGGAGUAUAGUUUCUGAUUUGUAUGUUUCCCUUUAUUCUGUCCUAGGUGAGAAUAGCGCGCACUAGAUCGCGUGGAGAAUGAUGGAAAUGCCAAGCUCAAGGUGAUGGCAGUUUCCUAGUCAUUGAACGCCUUAAACUGUAUGUAAUAUGGCCAUUAUUUUGUCAAAUGGAGUCCAUUUCACGUAAGUAUAAGUAUCUUUACAAAGUGUAGACUUGGGACCCAAAAAUAUUGCAUUGUGUGUUGGACAUCAU
Nicotiana tabacum (common tobacco) is the source of this 1240-nucleotide non-coding RNA. The record is from RefSeq and is a predicted model, not a curated record. NCBI's taxonomy places the organism in Eukaryota, Viridiplantae, Streptophyta, Magnoliopsida, Solanales, Solanaceae.